GGAGAGGUACCCAAGUGGCCAAAGGGGGCUGACUGUAAAUCAGCUGCGAAAGCUUCGGUGGUUCGACUCCGCCCCUCUCCA
This 81-nucleotide transfer RNA is filed under the name Anaerolineaceae bacterium 4572_78. RNAcentral describes it as "tRNA-Tyr". It matches the Rfam family "tRNA". From Rfam's summary of the family: Transfer RNA (tRNA) molecules are approximately 80 nucleotides in length. Their secondary structure includes four short double-helical elements and three loops (D, anti-codon, and T loops). Lineage: Bacteria; Bacillati; Chloroflexota; Anaerolineae; Anaerolineales; Anaerolineaceae. The record is from RNAcentral. RNAcentral also lists the same sequence under 1 other name.